AUGGUCUCUCAAGAGCCCUGGAAACGUGUGUCGGCGCCGCCGGAUGCGGCGACUUCUCAGUGGCUGUGGCUGGCGUUGAAUGGCACCAUUGUUGUGCGGAUGCUGAUGCCCAGCGUUGAGCCUGUCGUCUCCUAUAUUAGGGGAAGUUCUCCUGGCCCUUCCCAACUACCUCCCCUGUGCAAGUUUAUUACAACUGAACGGCCUCAAGGGCAAGUGUGCCUUCUGGUUUAAAGUUUUCUCAGAUUAGGGCACUGUCAGGUUUAUAGGGAUGAAACAGAAGCAACCAGAAGAGAAUCUUAGGCUCCCACAUCUACCCAGCUACCGCCAGCCCUUUCUGUUGUUUGCUGGAUCCCACCCUUACUGAGGGGCAUCUUUCAGCAAUUCUUUCCUCCUUGGUUUUGCAUCUUCAAAGUUCUCCCACCCUUUGAAUCCACUCCAUUUAGCAUUUCACUGACACCACUCCACCGAAACUACUCUUGUCAGGCCACCAAUGACCUUCACCUUGCUCUUCAAUCGCCAUUUCCUGGCCUCUUCUUAUUUGUCCUAUCAGUAGCAUUUGAACUAGCCAGUCACUGCUUUCUCCUUGAUAAGCUUUUUUUUUUCUCUUUCUGUUUUUCUUUUUGAGAUGGAGUCUCACUCUGUUGUCUGUUGCCCAGACUGCAGUGCAGUGGCACAAUCCUGGUUCACUGCAAUCUCCACCUCCUGGGUCCAAGCAAUUUUCCUGCCUCACCCUCCUAAGAAGCUGGGGUUACAGGUGAGCACCACCGUGCCCAGCUAAUUUUUGUAUUUUUAGUAGAGAUGGGGUUUCACUAUGUUUCCCAGGCUGGUCUCGAACUCCUGACCUCUAGUGAUCCACCCAUCUUGGCCUCCCAAAGUGCUGGGAUUACAGGUGUAAGCCACCGUGCCCAGCUGAUAAACUUUCUUUACUUGGCUUUUGGGACACCACACUUUCUUCAUUUUCUUCCCGGCUCACUGACUACUCUUCCUAGUCUCUUUUCUGGUUCCUCCCAUUUCCCUGACUUUCUGGUAUUAGAGUGCCCCAGGGCUGCUUAAUUACACGCACUUCUUUGGUGAUCUCAUUCACUUUUAUGACUUUAAAUACCAUCUGUAUGUAUAUGCUGAUGACUCAAAAUUGUAUCUUCCCUGGAUUCUUAACACUUAGCUUGGCCAGAGGAUAGAAAAGUAAAUACAGCCAAUUAAUCCCGGAAAGGUGGUCAAUCAUACUCACAUUUUAAGAAAUGCAAAUCCAAACUAUAAGAAGAUACCACCUACAUAUAUGGGAUAAGCAAAAGUUUAACAUUUGACAGUCAGAGCUGGUGACCAUGUAGGAAAACAGGCCCUUAGGUACUGGUGGAGGGAAUGUAAAUUGGUGCAGCCUCCUUUGAGAAUAAUUUGGCAUAAUCUGUCCCUUAAACAAUCAUUCCCACUGCUAGGAAUUUACCCUUGGAAAUACUUUCACGACUUUUACAGGAUGCAGAUACUAGAGCAUUUCCUGCAGCACUGUAUAUUCAAAAGGGUGGAAACCACCCUUGGGUGCUUCAGGAACCACAAAAUAAAAUUUGGCAUAUCUGCAGGAUGGAAUACUAUGAGACCUAAAUGUAAACAGAGGAGAUUCUUCUGCAUGUUGGGGAUCACAAGAUUCACAAUGAUUUAUAGAAGCUGCCAACCAAAGUUUUCUUGGGGCAGUUUCCCUAGAAGUAGGAUGAAAAAAGACUUCCUUUCAUGCCCCUCCUUUUCUGUCCCCUUAUUACCGAAGAGUGAGUGCAGGAGGAUAAAAUGUGGAGGCCCCUGCUUCCUUAAUUACUGGUCUAGUCACAGCCAUUCUUGAGGCCCACUUUCUCCAUGAAGUAUUUUUUUACAUCCCAUGAUCCCAGGCACUUUAUUUCUUUAGUUCUCAACAGUAUCCCCAAAUUACCAGCCUGCAUCUGUCAUCCUGUAUUUAUUGCUGGUUUUUUUUCUUUU
This 1962-nucleotide long non-coding RNA is filed under the name Homo sapiens (human). RNAcentral describes it as "non-protein coding ZNF337-AS1:20". Lineage: Eukaryota; Metazoa; Chordata; Mammalia; Primates; Hominidae. The record is from RNAcentral.